RNAcentral lists this ribosomal RNA (208 nucleotides) under uncultured bacterium. RNAcentral describes it as "partial 16S ribosomal RNA". It matches the Rfam family "Bacterial small subunit ribosomal RNA", at positions 568 to 775 of the family's 1533-position model. The record is from RNAcentral.
CAGGUAGGUGGUUUGGUAAGUCUGUUGUGUAAGCUCCCGGCUUAACUGGGAGAGGUCAACGGAAACUACCAGGCUUGAGUAUGGGAGAGGGUACUGGAAUUCCCGGUGUAGCGGUGAAAUGCGCAGAGAUCGGGAGGAACACCAAAGGCGAAAGCAGGUACCUGGACCAUUACUGACACUCAGCUGCGAAAGCUAGGGGAGCAAACAA